RNAcentral lists this small RNA (121 nucleotides) under unclassified sequences. RNAcentral's name for it is "LOOT RNA". It matches the Rfam family "LOOT RNA". Rfam says of the family: Latescibacteria, OD1/Parcubacteria, OP11, TM7. Lineage (Microgenomates, aka OP11) The record is from Rfam by way of RNAcentral.
AGCCUAAACCCAUAGAUAACCUAUGGGCAUGGCAAACAAGACCCUUGGAAGAUACUGAACCUCACGUUCAGCAACUCUUCCAUGGGCUGUACUUCGAAAGGAGUAUAGGGUCGUAAGACCU